Long non-coding RNA from Cavia porcellus (domestic guinea pig), 1105 nucleotides. RefSeq lists it as uncharacterized. NCBI's taxonomy places the organism in Eukaryota, Metazoa, Chordata, Mammalia, Rodentia, Caviidae. The record is from RefSeq and is a predicted model, not a curated record. The transcript is spliced from 3 exons.
GUGAUUUCUCUUCUUUUGGAAUAGCAGUGUGAGAACAGCAAGAGAGGGACCAUCGUUCCUUUACAGAGGUUCUCUGUACACCUGGGAUGGACACUGGCUGCUGGAGGGGACGAGUGAGGAACUGCAGGUGGAGGGAAGCGGCAUAUGACACAGGAUCACAUCCCAUGAGUUCCUUGGCCACUGGCUUCUGGAUGAGGUGGCCAGCGACUGAGAGUGGGAGGCUUUAUUCCCAGCACCCUCUCUGCUCAGCCACGGCUCCUAUCAGAGGCUCCCAGACCAUCAGCCAUGCUGCCUGGCCCUUCUGGCUGGGGCACUAACUGCUGCCCGCUGCUGUGAGCUGGGGUUUGUCUCACUGCCCCUGCGCCUGUCAUCGAGCCCCCAUGAGGCUGCAGCCUCCUCAAAUCCUUCUUUCUCUCCCUCCUUCCCUUCCAGGGGGUACUGUGAACCCCUUGAUCGCGGAUCAGGGUCAGGGGAAAGCAGCUGACCUCAGCCCCAGCAAAACGGGUUCUGCCUCUCCAAGCCUGCUAAUCUCAGAGCUGGUAUCUAUUUAAUAAACUUGCCGCUUUCCUCUAAAAGCUCUUUUAAAAUUGGCCCUAGGGUUUUUUGUAAUAAACUUUCUAUUUUAGAAUAGUUUUAGAUUUAGAGAAAUAUGGUGAAGAUAGUUCAGAAAUUGACUCACUUUUUAAAUUUUAUUUUAAAAGGAAGCAUUUCAUUAUUUCUGCAAAGAGAAAACCAGCAUGACUUGCCUCAAAUAGACUUUAAUCUUUAAAAUGAACAGAGAAAACAGAAGUAUUAUUAAAUCUUUAAAACUUAAAUAAAAAAUUAAAUGACUCAAUGCACAUAGUAAUAAAUCUGAUUGAUUUAACAACAUGCAAUUUAUGCAAAGUUGGCUAGGGCUGGGAUGUGUGCACAUGUGUGUAUGUACAAAGAAGAGAUGGGAGGUGAGCCUGCCACCCACGGGUGACAUGUUCUUUUCUUCCACGGUCGGUGAAAGUGACCCAGCUGAGCUUUCUCUCUGGAAGGAGCCAACCAGAGCUCAGCCCAAACUUAUAGAGCACUCGCCUGCUGUGGAAGACUGGCCUGCUGACUGGUACAUCUCAGCCCA